GGGAUCGUAGAUCAGCUGGGAGAUCACCUGCCAUUCACGCAGGAGGCCAUGGGUUCGAAGCCCUUCGUUCCA
This 72-nucleotide transfer RNA is filed under the name Ktedonosporobacter rubrisoli. Its description in RNAcentral is "tRNA-Glu". It matches the Rfam family "tRNA". Rfam says of the family: Transfer RNA (tRNA) molecules are approximately 80 nucleotides in length. Their secondary structure includes four short double-helical elements and three loops (D, anti-codon, and T loops). Lineage: Bacteria; Bacillati; Chloroflexota; Ktedonobacteria; Ktedonobacterales; Ktedonosporobacteraceae. The record is from RNAcentral.